RNAcentral lists this ribosomal RNA (2629 nucleotides) under Acinetobacter baumannii 2887. RNAcentral's name for it is "bacterial LSU rRNA". It matches the Rfam family "Bacterial large subunit ribosomal RNA", at positions 304 to 2925 of the family's 2925-position model. Lineage: Bacteria; Pseudomonadati; Pseudomonadota; Gammaproteobacteria; Moraxellales; Moraxellaceae. The record is from RNAcentral.
CAGCCCAUUAAGUUAUGUGUGUUUUAGUGGAACGCUCUGGGAAGUGCGAACGUAGAGGGUGAUAUUCCCGUACACGAAAGGGCACACAUAAUGAUGACGAGUAGGGCGAGGCACGUGAAACCUUGUCUGAAUAUGGGGGGACCAUCCUCCAAGGCUAAAUACUCCUGACUGACCGAUAGUGAACCAGUACCGUGAGGGAAAGGCGAAAAGAACCCCUGUGAGGGGAGUGAAAUAGAUCCUGAAACCGCAUGCAUACAAGCAGUGGGAGCACCUUCGUGGUGUGACUGCGUACCUUUUGUAUAAUGGGUCAGCGACUUAUAUUCAGUAGCGAGGUUAACCGUAUAGGGGAGCCGUAGAGAAAUCGAGUCUUAAUAGGGCGUUUAGUUGCUGGGUAUAGACCCGAAACCAGGCGAUCUAUCCAUGAGCAGGUUGAAGGUUGGGUAACACUAACUGGAGGACCGAACCCACUGUCGUUGAAAAGCCAGGGGAUGACUUGUGGAUAGGGGUGAAAGGCUAAUCAAGCCUGGUGAUAGCUGGUUCUCCCCGAAAGCUAUUUAGGUAGCGCCUCGGACGAAUACCAUAGGGGGUAGAGCACUGUUUCGGCUAGGGGGUCAUCCCGACUUACCAAACCGAUGCAAACUCCGAAUACCUAUGAGUACUAUCCGGGAGACAGACUGCGGGUGCUAACGUCCGUAGUCAAGAGGAAAACAAUCCAGACCGCCAGCUAAGGCCCCAAAAUCAUAGUUAAGUGGGAAACGAUGUGGGAAGGCAUAGACAGCUAGGAGGUUGGCUUAGAAGCAGCCACCCUUUAAAGAAAGCGUAAUAGCUCACUAGUCGAGUCGGCCUGCGCGGAAGAUGUAACGGGGCUAAAACUAUGUGCCGAAGCUGCGGAUGUAUACUUUGUAUACGUGGUAGGGGAGCGUUCUGUAAGCCGAUGAAGGUGUGUUGAGAAGCAUGCUGGAGGUAUCAGAAGUGCGAAUGCUGACGUGAGUAACGACAAAACGGGUGAAAAACCCGUUCGCCGAAAGACCAAGGGUUCCAGUCCAACGUUAAUCGGGGCUGGGUGAGUCGACCCCUAAGGCGAGGCCGAAAGGCGUAGUCGAUGGGAAAAUGGUUAAUAUUCCAUUACUUCUGUGUAAUGCGAUGAGAGGACGGAGAAGGCUAAAUCAGCCUGGCGUUGGUUGUCCAGGUGAAAGGAUGUAGGCAUGUAUCUUAGGCAAAUCCGGGGUACUCUAUGCUGAGAUCUGAUAGCAAGCUGUACUUGUACAGCGAAGUGGUUGAUGCCAUGCUUCCAGGAAAAGUCUCUAAGCUUCAGUUACACAGGAAUCGUACCCGAAACCGACACAGGUGGUCAGGUCGAGUAGACCAAGGCGCUUGAGAGAACUCUGCUGAAGGAACUAGGCAAAAUGGUACCGUAACUUCGGGAGAAGGUACGCUGUUGUUGGUGAUGGAACUCGCUUCCUGAGCUGACGACAGCCGCAGAAACCAGGCCGCUGCAACUGUUUAUUAAAAACAUAGCACUCUGCAAACACGAAAGUGGACGUAUAGGGUGUGAUGCCUGCCCGGUGCUGGAAGGUUAAUUGAUGGGGUUAGCGUAAGCGAAGCUCUUGAUCGAAGCCCCAGUAAACGGCGGCCGUAACUAUAACGGUCCUAAGGUAGCGAAAUUCCUUGUCGGGUAAGUUCCGACCUGCACGAAUGGCAUAAUGAUGGCGGCGCUGUCUCCAGCAGAGGCUCAGUGAAAUCGAAAUCGCUGUGAAGAUGCAGUGUACCCGCGGCUAGACGGAAAGACCCCGUGAACCUUUACUGCAGCUUGACACUGAACUUUGACCUUACUUGUGUAGGAUAGGUGGGAGGCUUUGAAGCUGGAACGCUAGUUCCAGUGGAGCCGUCCUUGAAAUACCACCCUGGUAAUGUUGAGGUUCUAACUCUGUCCCGUGAUCCGGGACGAGGACCGUGUCUGGUGGGUAGUUUGACUGGGGCGGUCUCCUCCUAAAGAGUAACGGAGGAGUACGAAGGUGCGCUCAGCGUGGUCGGAAAUCACGCGUAGAGUAUAAAGGCAAAAGCGCGCUUAACUGCGAGACCCACAAGUCGAGCAGGUACGAAAGUAGGUCUUAGUGAUCCGGUGGUUCUGUAUGGAAGGGCCAUCGCUCAACGGAUAAAAGGUACUCUGUGGAUAACAGGCUGAUACCGCCCAAGAGUUCAUAUCGACGGCGGUGUUUGGCACCUCGAUGUCGGCUCAUCUCAUCCUGGGGCUGAAGCAGGUCCCAAGGGUAUGGCUGUUCGCCAUUUAAAGAGGUACGCGAGCUGGGUUUAGAACGUCGUGAGACAGUUCGGUCCCUAUCUACCGUGGGCGCUGGAAAUUUGAGAGGAUCUGCUCCUAGUACGAGAGGACCAGAGUGGACGAACCUCUGGUGUACCGGUUGUGACGCCAGUCGCAUCGCCGGGUAGCUAUGUUCGGAAGGGAUAACCGCUGAAAGCAUCUAAGCGGGAAGCCUACCUCAAGAUAAGAUUUCCCUAGGACUUUAUGUCCUCUAAAGAGCCGUUCGAGACUAGGACGUUGAUAGGUUGGAUGUGGAAGCAUAGUGAUAUGUGAAGCUGACCAAUACUAAUUGCUCGUGAGGCUUGACUA